AUACUUACCUGGCAGGGGAGAUACCAUGACCACGAAGGUGGUUUCCCCAGGGCGAGGCUUAUCCAUUGCACUGCGGAUGUGCUGACCCCUGCGAUUUCCCCAAAUAAAAAGAAAAAAGAAAAGAAAAACAAAAGUCUGGGCCUCUGGGAGGAAAACUCCAGAUUAAACC
This is a small nuclear RNA of Suncus etruscus (white-toothed pygmy shrew), 169 nucleotides long. RefSeq annotates it as U1 spliceosomal RNA. Lineage: Eukaryota; Metazoa; Chordata; Mammalia; Eulipotyphla; Soricidae. The record is from RefSeq and is a predicted model, not a curated record. The transcript has a single exon.